RNAcentral lists this ribosomal RNA (417 nucleotides) under Philothamnus semivariegatus semivariegatus. RNAcentral's name for it is "partial 16S ribosomal RNA". It matches the Rfam family "Bacterial large subunit ribosomal RNA", at positions 1968 to 2606 of the family's 2925-position model. The record is from RNAcentral. Lineage: Eukaryota; Metazoa; Chordata; Lepidosauria; Squamata; Colubridae.
UUUGUCUACUAAUUAUAGACCAGCAUGAAAGGCAAAAUGAGGGUUUGACUGUCUCUUAUAAUUAAUCAAUUAAACUGAUCUCCCAGUAAAAAAGCUGGAAUUACUUCAUAAGACCAGAAGACCCUGUGAAGCUUAAACUACACUAUUAAACCACAUAAUAGCCACUUUCGGUUGGGGCGACCUUGGAAAAAAAAAGAACUUCCAAACCAUGAUCAUAUCACCAAUAGGCCAACAAGCCACCAACGACCCAGCAUAGCUGAUCAUUGAACCAAGUUACUCCAGGGAUAACAGCGCAAUCCUCUUCAAGAGCCCAUAUCAAAAAGAGGGUUUACGACCUCGAUGUUGGAUCAGGACAUCCUGACGGUGCAGCCGCUAUCAAGGGUUCGUUUGUUCAACGAUUAAUGUCCHACGUGAUCU